UACGAAGGGGGCGAGCGUUGUCCGGAAUUAUUGGGCGUAAAGGGCUCGUAGGCGGUCUGUUGCGUCGGGAGUGAAAACUUACAGCUUAACUGUGAGCGUGCUUCCGAUACGGGCAGACUUGAGGUAUUCAGGGGAGAACGGAAUUCCUGGUGUAGCGGUGAAAUGCGCAGAUAUCAGGAGGAACACCGGUGGCGAAGGCGGUUCUCUGGGAAUAUCCUGACGCUGAGGAGCGAAAGUGUGGGGAGCGAACAGG
RNAcentral lists this ribosomal RNA (253 nucleotides) under uncultured bacterium. RNAcentral's name for it is "partial 16S ribosomal RNA". It matches the Rfam family "Bacterial small subunit ribosomal RNA", at positions 524 to 776 of the family's 1533-position model. The record is from RNAcentral.